AGAGUUUGAUCCUGGCUCAUGACGAACGCUGGCGGCGUGCUUAAUACAUGCAAGUCGAGCGGGCUUUGCAACUCGUCACUGGUUGCUUGUAACUUGUAAAAGCGGGAAGGCCGAUUGCAGGCAGAUAGCAGGCAAAGGCUGACUGGAGGAACGAGCGACGAGCGACAAGUUGCAAAGUUAGCGGCGAACGGGUGAGUAACGCGUGGGUAAUCUGCCUUCAAGACCGGGAUAACAGGGCGAAAGCGCUGCUAAUACCGGAUAAUCUCUUUUUGUUGCCUGACAAAGAGAGCAAAGCUUUGGCGCUUGGAGAUGAGCCCGCGUUCCAUUAGCUAGUUGGUGAGGUAAGAGCUCACCAAGGCGACGAUGGAUAGCCGGCCUGAGAGGGUGACCGGCCACACUGGGACUGAGACACGGCCCAGACUCCUACGGGAGGCAGCAGUAAGGAAUUUUCCGCAAUGGGCGAAAGCCUGACGGAGCAACGCCGCGUGAGGGACGAAGGUCUUCGGAUCGUAAACCUCUGUCAUUGAGGACGAAAAAUGACGGUACUCGAGGAGGAAGCCCCGGCUAACUACGUGCCAGCAGCCGCGGUAACACGUAGGGGGCGAGCGUUGUCCGGAAUUACUGGGCGUAAAGGGCGUGUAGGCGGUUUAUUAAGUCAGACGUGAAAACCCUGGGCUUAACCUGCGGACUGCGUUUGAAACUGGUAGGCUUGAGGGCAGGAGGAGGAAAGUGGAAUUCCCGGUGUAGCGGUGAUAUGCGUACAUACCGGGAGAAAUACCAGGGGGAAAGGGGGACUUUUUGGCGUGCACUUGACUGCUGAGGCGCGAAAGCCCGGGGACCGAACGGGAUAGGAUACCCCGGUUAGUUUUGCCCCUUAAACGAUGGGUACUAGGUGUGGGAGGUAUCGAUUCCUUCGGUGCCGGAGUUAACACAAUAAUUACCCCGCCUGGAGAGUACGGCCGCAAGGCUGAAACUCAAAGGAAUUGACGGGGGCCCGCACAAGCGGUGGAGCAUGUGGUUUAAUUCGAUGUUACGCGAAGAACCUUACCAGGUUCUGACAUCUUCUUGCCGGGUAUAGAAAUAUACCUUUCCUUCGGGACGGGAAGACAGGUGGUGCAUGGCUGUUGUCAGCUCGUGUCGUGAGAUGUUGGGUUAAAUUCCGCAACGAGCGCAACCCUCAUCGUUAGUUGCCAGCGGUUUGGCCGGGCACUAUAUGGAGACUGCCGGUGACAAACCGGAGGAAGGUGAGGACGACGUCAAGUCAUCAUGCCCCUUAUGACCUGGGCCACACACGUGCUUCAAUGGCCGGUACAGAGCGCAGCGAACCCGCGAGGGGGAGCGAAUCGCAAAAAACCGGUCUCAGUUCGGAUCGGAGGCUGCAACCCGCCUCCGCGAAGGAGGAAUCGCUAGUAAUCUCGGGUCAGCAUACCGAGGUGAAUAUGUUCCCGGGCUUUGUACACACCGCCCGUCACACCAUGAAAGUCUUUUACACCCGAAGCCGGUGUGGUAACCCGGUUUACCGGGAGCAAGCCGUUUAAGGUGGAGCAGAUAAUUAGGGUGAAGUGGUAACAAGGUAACCG
Molecule: ribosomal RNA, 1580 nt
Filed under: uncultured bacterium
Lineage: Bacteria
Description: bacterial SSU rRNA
Rfam family: Bacterial small subunit ribosomal RNA
Source: RNAcentral